AUGGUGGAUGGGGUUGGAGAGGCAGCCGGGCAGAGAGCCGACACGGGUGGUAGGGUGGCGGCCGCCGCCGCCGGCAAUCCGGAGCCGGAAGGGAGCACAACUCCGUGUUGCACGAGGCGUAGCCACCAGGACCGGCAAACCGAAGAUGCUGCAAGGGACGCAGCAACUUGUUGGCCGGGGCCGAGACCGCGCCAGAGGGGACACCGGCAGACCAUGGACACUGGAGAACGCAGGUCCGUGGACGCCGGGACUGGAGCAGUGCUGACGAAGAACCACCAUGAAACUUCAGCCGCCUGCCAAAGGACGCCGUGA
This 312-nucleotide ribosomal RNA is filed under the name Triticum aestivum (bread wheat). Its description in RNAcentral is "partial small subunit ribosomal RNA". The record is from RNAcentral. Lineage: Eukaryota; Viridiplantae; Streptophyta; Magnoliopsida; Poales; Poaceae.